UCCUUGAUAGCUCAGUCGGUAGAGCAACUGGCUGUUAACCAGUAGGUCGCAGGUUCGAGUCCUGCUCAAGGAGCCA
RNAcentral lists this transfer RNA (76 nucleotides) under Alphaproteobacteria bacterium. RNAcentral's name for it is "tRNA-Asn". It matches the Rfam family "tRNA". Rfam says of the family: Transfer RNA (tRNA) molecules are approximately 80 nucleotides in length. Lineage: Bacteria; Pseudomonadati; Pseudomonadota; Alphaproteobacteria. The record is from RNAcentral.